UACAGAGGUCUCAAGCGUUGUUCGGAUUCAUUGGGCGUAAAGGGUGCGUAGGCGGCGCGGUAAGUCGGGGGUGAAAUCGUGGAGCUUAACUCCGAAACUGCAUUCGAUACUGCCGUGCUUGAGGACUGGAGAGGAGACUGGAAUUUACGGUGUAGCGGUGAAAUGCGUAGAUAUCGUAAGGAAGACCAGUGGCGAAGGCGGGUCUCUGGACAGUUCCUGACGCUGAGGCACGAAGGCCAGGGGAGCAAACGGG
Molecule: ribosomal RNA, 253 nt
Filed under: uncultured bacterium
Lineage: Bacteria
Description: partial 16S ribosomal RNA
Rfam family: Bacterial small subunit ribosomal RNA
Source: RNAcentral